Molecule: ribosomal RNA, 406 nt
Filed under: uncultured bacterium
Lineage: Bacteria
Description: bacterial SSU rRNA
Rfam family: Bacterial small subunit ribosomal RNA
Source: RNAcentral
GUACCUCUAGAAUAAGCCACGGCUAACUACGUGCCAGCAGCCGCGGUAAUACGUAGGUGGCAAGCGUUGUCCGGAUUUACUGGGCGUAAAGGGCGUGCAGCCGGGAAUGCAAGUCAGAUGUGAAAUCCAUGGGCUUAACCCAUGAACUGCAUUUGAAACUGUAUUUCUUGAGUACUGGAGAGGCAAUCGGAAUUCCUAGUGUAGCGGUGAAAUGCGUAGAUAUUAGGAGGAACACCAGUGGCGAAGGCGGAUUGCUGGACAGCAACUGACGGUGAGGCGCGAAAGUGUGGGGAGCAAACAGGAUUAGAUACCCUGGUAGUCCACACUGUAAACGAUGAAUAUCUAGGUGUGCGGGGACUGACCCCCUGCGUGCCGCAGUUCACACCAUAAGUAUUCCACCUGGGGA